This 29-nucleotide non-coding RNA is filed under the name Mus musculus (house mouse). Lineage: Eukaryota; Metazoa; Chordata; Mammalia; Rodentia; Muridae. The record is from RNAcentral.
UUCCAUGUUGUCUCACCUGGCCUUCAUGA